Long non-coding RNA from Microcebus murinus (gray mouse lemur), 1931 nucleotides. RefSeq lists it as uncharacterized. Lineage: Eukaryota; Metazoa; Chordata; Mammalia; Primates; Cheirogaleidae. The record is from RefSeq and is a predicted model, not a curated record.
GAAGGUUUCGCAAGUGUGUCAAGCCUACUGUCAAGUGGGAGUGUGGCAUGGGGAAGCCAUUGGUUCUACUGUCUGUGUGUGAAUAAAGGACACGCUUCCACCGUGCGCAGUGCCAGUCGAAGCAUGCGGCAGUCAGCAGCAGCACCGGCAGUUUCAGAGUCCGCAUAGAUGAUGCCCACACAGGCUGGCUUCUCAGUUCCUCCAGGUCCGGCUCCACUCUGCAUCCUCACGGGCACCGGCUGUGGGUCCAGGUCUUGGCAAUCUCCAUUACCCCAGUGUCAACUGUCAGGUGCCACUGAGUGCCCGAGGGAGGGCGGACGCAGAGGAGGCGCCGGGUCUCUCCUUCUCGUCCAUCCUUUGCUCAUCACUGCAGCAGCCCGAGCGGACUCUUCACGCCGUCGCUUCAUCCUAUUGAAAACGAGAGUCAGAAAAAGUGUCCCUGUGGUAGUAUUUAAAAAAGCCAUACAAAGCACAUUUGGCCCCAAAGAUUUGCCAGUAUAGAGUCUUAGUGAGGAACAGGUUUUCAGUUAGAAACGAUGAGAUAAUGGAGACAAGAAACUGGCUCCUCCCAGAAAAGACGACGUAUAAAGUCUGUUUCACAGGAGUCUGGCAUGUGUGCAGCGGGCCCACGCUACUCAUGCACCCUCUGCUUGCAAACUUACCUACAUUAUAAAACCCGUUUGUAACCCCAAGUCAAUGCGUGAGGCACUGUUGUGGCCAUCUGGGUCUGGGGACAGUCACUGAGCGGCAGACACUCUGAGCACAUUGCCAGCUGAGGGCCACGGAGGCCAUGUUCCGCCACACGGGACAGGCCGGGCGCAGGGAUGCUGUGCCACGCUGGCUGAGGCUUGGAGCACGUUUCCUCCUCCUGCUCCAAAGUCCUCGCCUGUCAAAACGGGGAUGUGAGGAGUGGUGCCGUCCCAGGCUGACGAGGAGGUCAAGUGAGUCCAUAGCUGCAACCCACUUAGAAGAGUGGCGGGCAAUCACAGCUCGUAGAGCGACUUUGAGCACAAAGAAUCUUGGGGGUGUGCGCCAGAGACAAGUUGUAGGGGCUCGUGGCCAGGCAGAUGCUCUCGCAGUUGGGCCUGCAUGAGAGGAACGCGGCUGAAAGGCGCGGCCGGUGGACUGUCGGGGUUAGCUUUGCGUUUCAGGAGGUCGCAGGCGGCAGUGUGGAGGGCGGUGGAGGGCGCGGCCGGCAGCAGGCUCAGUGUGUCUGCCUUUCACACCGGGCCGGGGUGCACCAUUGUCUGAUGGAUGCUGCCCCCUUUGUGCAAACGCCUAAGUGUCCUGAAAUGGCCAGUUUAAAGGAAUAGCAACCAUUUGAAUAUGUAAAUUUAAGCAGAAAGCAAGUCUAGCAAAUUGCUGGUGACUCUGUUACAUUAUGAGUAGACUAAAACAUACAAAAAGUUUCCUGCCCUGAGCCAUACCGUGCUCCUGCAACGUGCGAGGGCCCCGCGCGGCAUGUUCGUGCCGGGAUCCACGGAAUGCUCGCUGCGAGGACCAAACCAGGCGCUCGUGCCGUCGAGUGACAACUGCAUCAGUGACGCACGCUCCUCUGCGAGCUUUGGUCUAGUGUUACGUAGUUUGUGGUCUAAGCCAAGUUAAUGAUAUCUAGAAAGGACAGGCGAUGUGGAUUUUGUGUGGCCAGUUUCACACACACACACAAACAUAAUCUGCAAAUAAAUGAUUCGAUCAUGUACGUCUGUCAAGGCAGACACAGAUUUAGGCUGUGGAAUAGAGAAUACACCCAUGCCAUUUUCAUCCAAUCCCCAUAUGUAAAACAUAAGCUGCUCUUUCCAGAGCCUGGCAUAUCCUAUGCCAGGCGGACUUGGUUGGCCGAGUGCUCUCAGGCUCCCCAUGCUGGACCACAGCUGGUGGUGUUGGUCUUUCGUUCUUGUAAGCCAUUCUAAUGGGUGGAUUGCAGUGUCUGA